AUCCCAAAUUCAUUUAAAGCUCCGAUUCAAUGAGACCUCGGCCGUCGAUUCCCUGUAGCCUCUUCAGAACCUCCACCCACCCACUAACUUUAAACAGAAACCAUCCGACGGCGUGGUUCAGAUCCUUUGGAAAUAUCACAAUUGCAUUCCAGGAUUUUCUUUUGCAUCCAGCCGAUCGUGGAAUUCACAAUUCGUCACCUUUUUCUGGACCUCGCACCCCCUCAAAAACACGUUAAAAAAAAAGAAAAGCGUGUUUCACGCCUUACCUGUCAUACAGAGUCGACUUCGGCUGCACUUCAUAAAACUUGUGAGAAAUCGAUGGACGUGGGGCGACAGCAAACCCCAGGCUUCUGGAGUCACAACACUGAGAAUGGGACAGGAGAAUUGGCUCAGAAUUCGUUGUGUGUGUGUGCGCGCCGAGUCCCCGAGGAGCCAAGCACAACGUCAAAAGCAUGCAGAUGAAACACGCAUUGGUAUUUGAGGAGAAAGAACUGCCCUUAAAAAUCGAAGACAAACAAAACACACCGAAUCACCGUGUCCCUUUUUUCAAAGAUAUAUUCGAUAAAAUGGUAAAUAAUCCGCUUUAUUUCCCCCUCCCCCCGUGAUACCGGAUUUUUCUUAUAUUCCGCUGCCACUUCCACACAGACUUUAUAUAGAGAACAUUAUAUCCUGCAUUCCGCAAGGAUGACUGGUGCCAAAUAUUACUUUGGAACCCGGUUCGUUCUGGCGCAGAAUAUUUGUGCAGGAUGCGUUUGGAAUUGCAAACCACAGUCACAAAGGUAAAUCCAUUUUACUGACUUUAGCUUGACGCGAAAUAGAGAGGUUGGGGGGGGGGGAUAACAACUUUUAAAUUGGAUCUUAAAGGAAAAGCUGGUGUAUAUUUCUCGAGCUCACACCGAGGCGCUCCUUCGCGUGGCUGGUGAAUGAUCAAAAAUGGUCAACGAAUUGUGAACAAACUUUAUUUUCUGUCCUGCCGUUCUACUGCAAAUCGACAAAAAGGAGAGUCACCUUCGCAAAAGCCGACGGGAGCAAAACCGGCGUUUAGUAUUUCAACAUCAACCAGAUUCCUCUGUCCCUCUGUGUCCAAGGCUACUUCGAAUGUGAAGGUAUUAUUAAAAAUCCCAAAGACAUACCUAAAUGUGUCAGCAGUUCGGCUGGUAAUAGUGGCCUGGGACGCGGGGAAGCUAACUGCAACAUUUCUGAGUGUGUACAGUCAUAUCUCCAGGAAUCCCACCUAUAGUAUCGACCUCCCCAUAGAAGGAAAACUGCUGAGACGCCGACGAAUGAAUGCUCCCAGUAUUUGUGCGAGGAAUGGGGCGGGGCGGCUCCGAGGAUUGGCUCCCCCAAAGAAGCCGAGCCAUGCACCAAAACCUUUCAUUGUCAAAACCACUGGAACGGGGUCCAAGAAAGCAAACUCUCGGAUUCCUUUUAGAGAGCAUUUUUUCAUACCCGUCUGUGACCACGCGGCCAAACGUGGCAACAUUUUUUUAAAACUUCCUUUCUGUUUUGUAAAGCAUCCGAUUUCCAAUGUAUUCCCCCCUCCACCACCACCUCUCGAAAUGGAUAAAUUAGACAGGGAUCUCACUCCGGUCACAGCCUCUGGGUGGGUGUAAACCCCCCCCCCCCCCACUUCGAGCCUCUCGGCUUUAACUUUCUCAUUUCUCUCAGCCCUGCCCGAUCCUCUAUGUCUCGCAUCAAAAAAAAUCGCACUCGGUUACGACCGCACGGUUUGCAUCCAGACAUGGCCAAAUGCGGCCAACAACAGACCUGUUCAGGAGGUCCCCGUGAGGCUGAACCCAAGUGCAAGGAGCCCGCCAAAAAGCAAAACCCUAACCCUAACCAAAAAGCAAUCCCCUUUCCCUGCAGGGGCGAAAGGCGGCAGCGCAGAGGUUUUUGUGUCAGCACCGGGUUAAACACCUUGUUGCUUUGGGGGUGGGGGAAGUGUUGUUCCAGCCGGCUGGAUCACACAGGAUCCCGAGUGCAAACAAUCCGCUGGCUCACAUCUGGAAAUGAAGCCAGGAGGCUGCUCAUGUUUAAUGCACGCCCGCCCGCCCGCUUCUACUCACGGACCUGGCGGCCCCGGGGGUUAUUACGAAACAUUGACGGUCGCCCGCUUUUCUUCAGGUUCUCGCUGCUUCGCAUCCAAAAACGUCCUGUUCAAUUAGCAAACCUGACACACCGCACCUCGCCCUCUCAUGUUUUGUUUUUCUCUCUCUCCCACAUGCUCCGACAAGCAGUCGGAUGAGGGCGGCCAGUUUGUCUCUGAAGCGCCUUCAGGAGGUGUUUCUCCACCCCCUUCUCUCUGAAAAGGAUUUGGUUGGCCUCGUCGAAUGGACGUCUUACAUUUGGACAUCUCCUGACCCAUUGAAUUCAGCAGUGUUAACUUGACAUAUGUGUCUGGAAAAGCAAUACAGUUUAAAAGAGGCAUCAGAGAAGGCUCCAAGAACAAGAGAACAGCAAGGAGAAUAUGAACAGAACACCAUCAGAGUGAGAUGUUCAAAAAAAGAGAUUUCCAAGAAACAAGUUUUCAUAAAUCAACAAUAAUGCUGCUGAAAAGAGUCCAGACAAUUUUCAAGUAUUGUAUCCAUGGAUGUUGUGAGGAUCAGAAAGUCUUCUUUCUCCCUUAAAGCCUGCUUUUCCCACUAAGCUGAUGUGUGUGAACAGCCUCUAGCUAUUGAACUAUAGAUCCUGUCAUAGCUGUUGAUUUCCAAAUACAAGUUUUCAAACCAUUCAUGUUGGAAAGAGAAAUCUUCAAGGAAGUAACUGGUCUACAACAAUAACAGAUGGAUCUUAUUCUUAUUCAUAUCUACUUCCAAUUGUUAUAUCCAUAUUUUAUCUAAUAUUUGUAUUUUUUUUGUUAGUAACUUUGAUGAAUAGUUGUGUAAUAAUCUAACCUUUGAUCUUGUUUAAAAAAGUACACAAUUAUUUUUAAAUUGGAACACAAACUAAAAGGGACUAAAUGCAUAAUCUAAACUCACAUUCAUGGAUAACGACAUGGACAUUUUGGAUGUGGCCAUAAUAUCUUAUUGAGUCAGAUAACCAGUAUUGUCCCAAUUAUUCUUGAUUUUCAAAUCACAGUUUUGCUCUGGUCCUUUACCUAUGCUGUUUUUUUCAUUCAUCACAGGAUGUGGGCGUUGCUAGCUGGCCAACAUUUAUUACCAGCCCCUAGUUGCCCUUGAGAAUGUAGUAUUGAGCUGCCUUCUUUAACUGCUGCAGUCUAUGUGCUCUACCUUGACCCACUAUGCUGUUAGGGGUGGAAUUCCAGGAUUUUGACCCAGUGAAAGUGAAGGAACAAUGAAAUAUAUCCAAGUCAUGUGGCAAGUGGUUUAGAGGGGAACUAGGUGGUGGUGAUGUUUUCAUGUAUCUGGUGCCCUUGUCCUUCGAGAUGAAAGUGGUCAUGGAUUUGCAAGGUGCUGUCUAAAGAUCUUUGAUGAAUUUUCUAUGUGCAUCUUAAAGAUAGUAUACACUGCUGCUAGUGAAUGUCAGCAGUAGAGAGAGUGGAUGCUAAUGGUUGUGGUGCCAACAAGUGCUGAGAUUCCUUGGAUGAUAUCAAGCUUCUUGAGGGUUGUUGGAGCUGCACCCUCUGGGCAAAUUCCAUCACAAUCCUGACUUGUGCCUUUGGGGAGACGGAGGUGACUUACUCACCACAGUAUUCCUUGUCUCUGAUCUACUCUUGUAGCCUACGUAUUUGAACUUCUGGCUAAUGGUAACCCCCAGAAUGUUGAUAGUGGAAGGUUCAGUGAUGGUAACACCGUUAAAUGGGGUGCUGGUUAGACUGCCUAGCAUUAUGUGGCGCAAAUGUUACUUGGUACUUUGUCAAUCCAAGCCUGGAUAUUGUUCAGAUCUUGCUGCAUUUGAACAUGGAUUGCUUCAGUAUCUGAAGAGUUGCAAAUGGUGAAAAACAUUGUGCAGUCAUCAGCGAACAUCACCACUUCUGACCUUAUGAUGAAGGGAAGGUCAUUGAUAAAGCAACUGAAAAUGGUUGGCCCUAGGAUACUACCUACAACACUAGGACACUAAAACUGCAUUGUUGACUCAAUGUAGAACUGUUAAUAGCAAUACACUGGAUUUAAAAACAGCUCCCAGAAUUAAAAAGAUGAUAUACUAACAUAAGAUGCAUACUAGUAAUAUCUUUUAUUUAAAAAGUAACAUUUAUUUUGUCUUUAAUACUCAAGCAUAGUAUUAUUCUUAAAUUACUAAGCAGAAUAUCAUUAUCCAAGCAACAUACUGUUGUUGUGUCCUCCACCUGGGUAUUGGUCUCAAUCUCUUGACCCUGCUCUGUUCUCAUUUCUUGUUAACCUUCUUGCACAAUCUUCAAUUUAUUUUUAAGUGUUCACUUUGUUGUCUAUUAAUUGUUCCAAAAAUUGGUUAGCUAGCAAAGGAGAGUCUAGCAGAUACCUUGCACAACAAUUUCCACAUAUGAUUCAAUUUAGUCAGGUUACUAAAUGCAGCACUUUCGUCUUGCCCCUUUUGGUAGAAUGCUUUUCAAAUUAGAUAUAGGCUACAAAAGAUACUGAGAGUUCUCAACAGUGAUUCUUAAAUACUGCUAAAAUCCACUCAGGUAUUUUUCAAGAAAGAUAUUUAUGUAGCAAGAAUUUUCUGAUGGGCUGAGCAGAAAAAGUGAUUAAUACUCUCUCCUCAAAAACUGAUGAGCUACAUUGUAUUGUCAGUUUGGUGACCCCAAUUGGCCAGUAAUAUUCAAAAAACUUUGAACCCAAAAAUGGAUUAAGCUUCUUCACUACAGUCAUGAAUUUGUGCUUUAAGUUUGUCCUUUGAUCACCAAAUCUGAAAGUCUGCUCCCAGCACUAAUUUUAAUUACAGUCAUAAAGGUAUACAGCAUGGAAAUAGGCCCUUCGGCCCAACUUAUUCAUGCUGACCAGGUUUUCUAAGCUGAACUAUUCCCAUUUGCCUAUGUUUGUCUCACAUUCCUCUAAAUCUUUCCUAUCUAUGUGUCUGUCCAAAUGCAUUUUGAAUGUUGUAAUUGUACCCACCUCUGCCAGUUCCUCUGGCAGUCCAUUCCAUAUAUGCAUCAUUCUGUAUGUGAAAAGAGUUGCCCUCACGUCCCUUUUAAAUUUUCCCCUCUUACUUUAAACCUAUACCCUCCAGUUUUGGACACUCCCUUAUCCUGGGAAAAGACUUUUGUUAUUCACCUUAUCUAUACCCCUCAUGAUUUUAUAAACCUCUAUAACGUAAUCCCUCAGCAUGCUAUGUUUCAGGGAAAAAAGUCACAACCUUUCCUUAAGUCAAACCUUAUAGUUUUGGUAAUAUCCUUGUAAAUCUUUCUUGCACCCUUUCCAGUUUAAUAACAUCUUUCCUAUACAGGCCAACCAGAAUGGUAAGCAGUACUCCAAAUGUGGCCUUACCAAUGUCUUGUAAGCUGUUACAUGACUUCCCAACUCCUGUACUCAGUGCUCUGACUGAUGAAGGCAAGCAUGCCAAGCGUCGUCUUCAUCAUCCUACUUACCAGUGGUUCUGCUUUCAAGGAAGUAUGUACCUGCACCCCAUCCUCUCUGUUUGACAACACACCUGGACCCUACAAUUAACUGUGCAAGUCCUACCCUGAUUUGCCUUACCAAAAUGUGACACCUCACAUUUAUAUCAAUUAAAUUCUGUCUGCCAUUCCUUUGCACUGGCUCAGUUAAUCAACAUCCUGUUGUAUAAUUAGGUAACUUUCUUCACUGUCCACUAUACCACCAAUUUGGAUGUAAUCCGCAAACUUACUAUGUCUCUUAUAUUCUCAUGCAAAUCAUUUAUAUAAAUGACAAAUAACAGUGGACUCAGCACUGAUCCCUACAGCACACUACUGCUCACAGGCCUCCCGUAUUAAAAAAAACCCUCUACCACCACCCUCUGUGUCCUACCAUCAAGUCAAUUUUGUAUCCAAUUGUCUAUUCCACGGCCUUAGAAGCAUCUGUGCAAAAAGAUUGUUCCUGGUCUCCAUCCACAAUUUCUUCCUUUUAUCCUUUAAUCUGCAUCCUCUAAUUCUAAAACACUCAGUUAUUUGAAAGUUUGCUUUUACUUACACUGCCCCAUUCUUCAUAAUUUUAAAUAGAUCUUCAUCUGUACUUUUUAGAAGAUAGACAACUAAAUUAAA
Stegostoma tigrinum is the source of this 6094-nucleotide long non-coding RNA. RefSeq lists it as uncharacterized. The transcript has 3 exons. The record is from RefSeq and is a predicted model, not a curated record. Lineage: Eukaryota; Metazoa; Chordata; Chondrichthyes; Orectolobiformes; Stegostomatidae.